Molecule: non-coding RNA, 81 nt
Organism: Infundibulicybe gibba
Lineage: Eukaryota; Fungi; Basidiomycota; Agaricomycetes; Agaricales; Omphalinaceae
Source: the annotation of a GenBank genome assembly
GGCGCUGUAGUGUAGCGGUUAUCACUCGAGAUUCUGAUGCGUCAAUUUCUCGUAACCCAAGUUCGAUUCUUGGCAGUGCCU